GACGAAGGAGGCUAGCGUUGUUCGGAAUUACUGGGCGUAAAGCGCGUGUAGGCGGUUAUCCAAGUCGGGUGUGAAAGCCUUGAGCUCAACUCAAGAAAUGCACUCGGUACUGGGUGACUAGAGGACCGGAGAGGAUAGUGGAAUUCCCAGUGUAGUGGUGAAAUACGUAGAGAUUGGGAAGAACACCAGUGGCGAAGGCGGCUAUCUGGACGGUUUCUGACGCUAAGACGCGAAAGCGUGGGGAGCAAACAGG
RNAcentral lists this ribosomal RNA (253 nucleotides) under uncultured bacterium. Its description in RNAcentral is "partial 16S ribosomal RNA". It matches the Rfam family "Bacterial small subunit ribosomal RNA", at positions 524 to 776 of the family's 1533-position model. The record is from RNAcentral.